This 875-nucleotide ribosomal RNA is filed under the name uncultured Candidatus Entotheonella sp. RNAcentral's name for it is "bacterial SSU rRNA". It matches the Rfam family "Bacterial small subunit ribosomal RNA", at positions 568 to 1443 of the family's 1533-position model. Lineage: Bacteria; Pseudomonadati; Candidatus Tectimicrobiota; Candidatus Entotheonellia; Candidatus Entotheonellales; Candidatus Entotheonellaceae. The record is from RNAcentral.
CGUGUAGGCGACUUCAUAUGUCUGUGAUCAACGCAUACGACUCUAUCGUAUUAAGCCGCGGAAACUGUGGAGCUUGAGGCUGGGAGGGGCUGAUGGAAUACUCUGUGUAGCGGUGAACUGCGUAGAGAUGAGGGAGAACAAUCGUGGCGAAGGCGGCCAGCUGGACCAGUUCUGACGCUGAGACGCGAAAGCGUGGGGAGCAAACAGGAUUAGAUACCCUGAUAGUCCACGCCGUAAACUAUGGGCACUACGUGUCGGCGGUUCCUAAUCCGUCGGUGCCGACGCUAACACAGUACGUGCACCGCCUGAGGAGUACGGUCGCAAGCCUGAAUCUCAAACGAAUUGACCGGAGCACGCACAAGCGGUGGAGCAUGUGGUUUAAUUCGACACAACGCGGAGAACCUUACCUAGGUUUGACAUGUAUAGGACAGCUGGUGAAAGUCAGUCCCCCUUCGAGGCAUAUGCACAGGUGCUGCAUGGCUGUCGUCAGCUCUUGUCGUGAGAUGCUGGGUUAAGUCCCGCAACGAGCGCAACCCUUGCAUUCUGUUACUACCGGGUGAUGCCCGGCACUCUGAGGCGACUGCCUCGAUUAACGAGGAGGAAGGUGGGGAUGACGUCAAGUCCUCAUGGCCUUUAUCCCUAGGGCUACACACGUGCUACAAUGGUCAGGACAAAGGGCUGCUUCUUCGCUAGGAUACGCCAAUUCCAAAAACCUGGCCCCAGUUCGGAUGAUCGGCUGCAACUCGCCAGCUUGAAGCUUGAAUCGCUAGUUAUCGGAGAUCAGCACGCUCCGGUGAUUACGUUCCCGGGCCUAGUACACACCGCCCGUCACACACCGAAAGCUGCAUGUACCCGCAGUCGCUGAGCUAACCAUA